CCUGCCCGGGAAGAAGCUGUACAGGGGCUCAAGGAGGCAGUGACGGUAGCAGUCAGUCAGUGCAUAGUGUUGGGGGUAAAAUCACCUACUCCGCGGUGUGGCAGAUUUUUUUUAAGCCGCCGGAGGUGGUGAACGUGGCUAUUAUAGAUGAGUGAA
Long non-coding RNA from Bufo bufo (common toad), 156 nucleotides. RefSeq lists it as uncharacterized. The transcript has 3 exons. NCBI's taxonomy places the organism in Eukaryota, Metazoa, Chordata, Amphibia, Anura, Bufonidae. The record is from RefSeq and is a predicted model, not a curated record.